CCCAAUUGACCCGACCCAAACCCACUUAAAACUAACCCGCCCCCAGAUCUUUUAAUCCUUGACGUUGAUCACACAGAUCAGCGGCCCACACUUCACUUACUAUAAUUAAAUCCUUAAAACCCCUAACCCUAAACUCAUUCUUCCAAACUCACCGCCUCUGAAUCCCUAAAGCUCUCAAACCCUAAACCAUCUCCGGCUGUCUCACCGGCGUUCAUGGUCGCCCAAGACCUGAAACUCCUUCAUCCGUUCACUCUUCACUUCUGCUAGUCCUUGGGUUCGAAGACCGAAGCUGUAUAUCAAGGGUGGUUGGACCAGAGGUCCUCCGAUGGGUUUUUGCAGUCGUGUCUGGUCUUUCUACGACAAGUCUUAAGGCUCUGAUUCCUUUGCCGAUUCCGACGAGUCCGUUCCAAGUUUUUCUCGUCAUUUCAAGACUUUUCUAUGAAAACCUUAACUUCUUGAGGUUUUUCUCUGUGUUUAUUUUUAUGAUUCUCUCUGAGUCCUAGUGAUUUUCUAAAAGUUUCAAAGUUUCCUCAUCUCUUUUUCGCAUAUUUGUAUUUUCAAGCAAUUCGUCC
RNAcentral lists this long non-coding RNA (572 nucleotides) under Nicotiana benthamiana. RNAcentral's name for it is "long non-coding RNA (NBEN_LNC032150)". The record is from RNAcentral. Lineage: Eukaryota; Viridiplantae; Streptophyta; Magnoliopsida; Solanales; Solanaceae.